Quercus lobata is the source of this 343-nucleotide long non-coding RNA. RefSeq lists it as uncharacterized. The record is from RefSeq and is a predicted model, not a curated record. The transcript is spliced from 4 exons. NCBI's taxonomy places the organism in Eukaryota, Viridiplantae, Streptophyta, Magnoliopsida, Fagales, Fagaceae.
CGGAUUUUCAAGAGCGAUUGUGUUUCUUCCUCUUGCUUAGCUUUACCACAGUGUGCUUCGCUCGCCAAUUCCCAUUGGAGAAUGAGAAGACUUUGUUCCCCGACUACGAUCCACCACAUAAUCAUAAUCGACCCCCUCCUCCAUUGGAUGUGUCUACUUCACUUUCGAAUAAUGAGAAAACUUUGUUCCCUGACUAUGACCCUCCACAUAACCAUAAUCAGCCUCCUCCACCAUUGGACGUGUCCACUACUUCACAUUCAAGUAAUGAAUAGGAGGGCUACAAUCCUCUUCGUUCCAGAAUGAGUGGCAACGUUUGCAAGACAAGACUUUAAAUUUUCGUGAU